RNAcentral lists this ribosomal RNA (519 nucleotides) under Pseudoeurycea granitum. RNAcentral describes it as "Pseudoeurycea sp. g SMR-2020 partial large subunit ribosomal RNA". It matches the Rfam family "Bacterial large subunit ribosomal RNA", at positions 1816 to 2597 of the family's 2925-position model. Lineage: Eukaryota; Metazoa; Chordata; Amphibia; Caudata; Plethodontidae. The record is from RNAcentral.
CGCCUUUUGAAUUAUUAACAUGAAAGGUCCUGCCUGCCCAGUGACACUUGUUUCAACGGCCGCGGUAUUAUGACCGUGCAAAGGUAGCGUAAUCACUUGUCUUUUAAAUAAAGACCAGUAUGAAUGGCAAGACGAAAGCCUAACUGUCUCCCUGAACUAGUCAAUAAAAUUGACUUUCCCGUGCAGAUGCGGGAAUAAUAAUAUAAGACGAGAAGACCCUGUGGAGCUUUAAACUUAAGCUAACAAAAUAUAAAUGCACUAGCACCAAGUUUUGGGUUGGGGCGACCAUGAGGUAAAACAUAACCCUCAAGACGAAAACUAAGAAGGACACUUCAUAUAAAUAUUAAUAGCAUAAUUGACCCAAUAAUUGAUCAACGAACCAAGUUACCCCAGGGAUAACAGCGCAAUCUACUCAAAGAGCCCUUAUCGACGAGCAGGUUUACGACCUCGAUGUUGGAUCAGGACCCCCAAAUAAUGCAACAAUUAUUAAAGGUUCGUUUGUUCAACGAUUAAAGUCCU